UUGGACAAUGGGGGGAACCCUGAUCCAGCCAUGCCGCGUGUGUGAAGAAGGUCUUCGGAUUGUAAAGCACUUUUGUUUGGGAGGAAGAGUUGUAGGGUAAUACCUUCCAAUUAUGACGCUACAAACCGAAUAAGCACCGGCUCACUUCGUCCCAGCAGCCGAGGUAAUACGAAGGGUUCAAGCGUUAAUCGGAAUUACUGGGCGUAAAGCGCGCGUAGGUGGUUCGUUAAGUUGGAAGUGAAAGCCCCGGGCUUAACCUGGGAAUUGCUUUCAAAACUGACGAGCUAGAGUACGGUAGAGGGUAGUGGAAUUUCCUGUGUAGCGGUGAAAUGCGUAGAUAUAGGAAGGAACAUCAGUGGCGAAGGCGACUACCUGGACUGAUACUGACACUGAGGUGCGAAAGCGUGGGGAGCAAACAAG
Molecule: ribosomal RNA, 420 nt
Filed under: uncultured bacterium
Lineage: Bacteria
Description: partial 16S ribosomal RNA
Rfam family: Bacterial small subunit ribosomal RNA
Source: RNAcentral